Molecule: ribosomal RNA, 440 nt
Filed under: uncultured bacterium
Lineage: Bacteria
Description: partial 16S ribosomal RNA
Rfam family: Bacterial small subunit ribosomal RNA
Source: RNAcentral
CCUACGGGAGGCAGCAGUAGGGAAUCUUGCGCAAUGGGGGAAACCCUGAAGCAGCAACGCCGCGUGGAGGAUGAAGGUUUUCGGAUCGUAAACCCCUUUUGUUAGAGAAGAUAAUGACGGUAUCUAACGAAUAAGCACCGGCUAACUCCGUGCCCGCAGCCGCGGUAAUACGGAGGGUGCAAGCGUUACUCGGAAUCACUGGGCGUAAAGAGCGCGUAGGCGGGAUAGCAAGUCAGCUGUGAAAUCCUAUGGCUUAACCAUAGAACUGCAUUUGAAACUGUUAUUCUAGAGUAUGGGAGAGGUAGGUGGAAUUCUUGGUGUAGGGGUAAAAUCCGUAGAGAUCAAGAGGAAUACUCAUUGCGAAGGCGACCUGCUAGAACAUAACUGACGCUGAUGCGCGAAAGCGUGGGGAGCAAACAGGAUUAGAUACCCGGGUAGUC